RNAcentral lists this ribosomal RNA (253 nucleotides) under uncultured bacterium. RNAcentral describes it as "partial 16S ribosomal RNA". It matches the Rfam family "Bacterial small subunit ribosomal RNA", at positions 524 to 776 of the family's 1533-position model. The record is from RNAcentral.
UACGUAGGGGGCAGGCGUUGUCCGGAAUCAUUGGGCGUAAAGCGCGUGUAGGCGGCCCGGUAAGUCCGCUGUGAAAGUCGGGGGCUCAACCCUCGAAUGCCGGUGGAUACUGUCGGGCUAGAGUGCGGAAGAGGCGAGUGGAAUUCCUGGUGUAGCGGUGAAAUGCGCAGAUAUCAGGAGGAACACCAAUUGCGAAGGCAGCUCGCUGGGACGUGACUGACGCUGAGACGCGAAAGCGUGGGGAGCAAACAGG